This 266-nucleotide unclassified non-coding RNA is filed under the name fungal sp. RNAcentral's name for it is "partial internal transcribed spacer region". The stretch from base 1 to 46 matches the Rfam family "Eukaryotic small subunit ribosomal RNA", at positions 1786 to 1831 of the family's 1831-position model. The record is from RNAcentral. Lineage: Eukaryota; Fungi.
AAGUCGUAACAAGGUAACCGUAGGUGAACCUGCGGUUGGAUCAUUAUUGAAAUCUAACCUUGGAUGUUGGGAGCAAUCCCUACACCAACACCCCAAAACCUUGCCCGUGGUUCUAAAACAAACGUUUCAGACCACGGCGUGAAACUCAAAGAACAGCUUCGGCUGCUCUUUACACCUAGAUUCACCUUUUUUAAAAUUUACUAUUUUUCAACUCCGAAAGGAACAGAAAAAAAAAACAACUUUUGACAAUGGAUCUCUAGGCUCUC